This 279-nucleotide unclassified non-coding RNA is filed under the name plant metagenome. RNAcentral describes it as "partial contains small subunit ribosomal RNA, internal transcribed spacer 1, and 5.8S ribosomal RNA". The record is from RNAcentral.
UUUCCGUAGGUGAACCUGCGGAAGGAUCAUUAUCGUACAACAUGUCUGCGGCCUGCGAUGGCUGUCGCUGCCCCAACGGCCGCGCACGCCCGCGUCCGUCCUUUUGCAUUCUCAUCCAUCUCACCUUUUGUGCAUCACCGCGUGGGUCCCUUUCUGGACCAUCCCGUAGCGCCUCUCCCCUUUUUACUUAAACCCUCCCUUUAUAAGUGUAAAAAUACCACAUAUCUUUCAUCAAUACAACUCUUAACACCGGCUCCCUUGGCUCUCGCAUCGAUGCAG